GAUGAACGCUGACAGAAUGCUUAACACAUGCAAGUCAACUUGAACUUCGGUUUGGGUGGCGGACGGGUGAGUAACGCGUAAAGAACUUGCCUCACAGAUAGGGACAACAUUUGGAAACGAAUGCUAAUACCUGAUAUUAUGAUUUUAGGGCAUCCUAGGAUUAUGAAAGCUAUAUGCGCUGUGAGAGAGCUUUGCGUCCCAUUAGCUAGUUGGAGAGGUAACGGCUCACCAAGGCGAUGAUGGGUAGCCGGCCUGAGAGGGUGAUCGGCCACAAGGGGACUGAGACACGGCCCUUACUCCUACGGGAGGCAGCAGUGGGGAAUAUUGGACAAUGGACCAAGAGUCUGAUCCAGCAAUUCUGUGUGCACGAUGAAGUUUUUCGGAAUGUAAAGUGCUUUCAGUUGGGAAGAAAAAAAUGACGGUACCAACAGAAGAAGGGACGGCUAAAUACGU
RNAcentral lists this ribosomal RNA (453 nucleotides) under uncultured bacterium. Its description in RNAcentral is "partial 16S ribosomal RNA". It matches the Rfam family "Bacterial small subunit ribosomal RNA", at positions 28 to 506 of the family's 1533-position model. The record is from RNAcentral.